Molecule: ribosomal RNA, 207 nt
Filed under: uncultured Syntrophomonadaceae bacterium
Lineage: Bacteria; Bacillati; Bacillota; Clostridia; Eubacteriales; Syntrophomonadaceae
Description: partial 16S ribosomal RNA
Rfam family: Bacterial small subunit ribosomal RNA
Source: RNAcentral
CACGUAGGCGGGAACUUAAGUCAGGUGUGAAAGACCGAGGCUCAACCUCGGGUAUGCACUUGAAACUGGGUUUCUUGAGGGCAGGAGAGGAAAGCAGAAUUCCUGGUGUAGCGGUGAGAUGCGUAGAAAUCAGGAGGAAUACCAGUGGCGAAGGCGGCUUUCUGGACUGACCCUGACGCUGAGGUGCGAAAGCGUGGGUAGCAAACA